Jaculus jaculus (lesser Egyptian jerboa) is the source of this 719-nucleotide long non-coding RNA. RefSeq lists it as uncharacterized. Lineage: Eukaryota; Metazoa; Chordata; Mammalia; Rodentia; Dipodidae. The record is from RefSeq and is a predicted model, not a curated record. The transcript is spliced from 4 exons.
AGGGAAAAAAAAAAAACAAGCUGGAUGAACUCGAGCUGUAAGGUGAUCUCCUGGGCAGCCAGCAGCCCUGAUAGGCUACUUUGCGUGAGCCAGUGUUUUUGUGAAAGUGAGGAUGAAGUCCGAAGGUGUGAUUCAGCCUUAAGCUUUGAAGAUAGAAAGUUCCGACUCACAAUUCAGCAAAAGCAGGAGAGAACAGCAAGAACGAGCUGGCUCUGAACACACGACACAGGGCUGGAUUCCUCAACCCCAAGGUCCACCCUCAGAAACACUUCUCCUCCAGUAAGGCUCUCCAAGACUUGACCACGCAGGGGAGCAAGCAGGAAGCUCAAUCACAGCCACCUGAGGCCAUGGGGUCUUGAGAAACACCGUGGUUAACAUCUGAUGGAAAUGAAUAAGUCAAGAGGAAGACAAAUAUACAGUUUGCCCUUCUUAUGACAGUUUGGACCACAAUGUCACGCAGUGCUGUUAAUUGUACUAAGGACAGUUGGCUUUCUGUAUAUUGUGUGUUUGGAGGAAUUGAGGUGGUAUGUUUUGGGCCUUUAUGUAACUCAUGGAGAUUUAUGCCUACACAGAGGCAUGCUAAUUACGGUUGCACUAGAAUAAUGCCAUGGCCAAUCAGACCUUUCCUUUACCAUAGUCAAAGUGGACUGCUUGUAUAAAUAAGGUGCUGAGAUUACAGGACUAUCAAACCCAAAUUUUAUGUACUACCACACAUAUUU